RNAcentral lists this ribosomal RNA (432 nucleotides) under uncultured bacterium. Its description in RNAcentral is "partial 16S ribosomal RNA". It matches the Rfam family "Bacterial small subunit ribosomal RNA", at positions 28 to 507 of the family's 1533-position model. The record is from RNAcentral.
GAUGAACGCUGGCGGUAUGCUUAACACAUGCAAGUCGAACGGUCACUUCGGUGAUAGUGGCGGACGGGUGAGUAACGCGUGAGAAUCUGUCUUCAGGUCGGGGACAACAGUUAGAAAUGACUGCUAAUACCGGAUGUGCCUUUGGAUGAAAGAUUUAUUGCCUGAAAAAGAGCUCGCGUCAGAUUAGCUAGUAGGUGGUGUAAGAGACUACCUAGGCUCCGAUCUGUAGCUGGUCUGAGAGGACGAUCAGCCACACUGGAACUGAGACACGGUCCAGACUCCUACGGGAGGCAGCAGUGGGGAAUUUUCCGCAAUGGGCGAAAGCCUGACGGAGCAAUACCGCGUGAGGGACGAAGGCUUUUGGGUCGUAAACCUCUUUUCUCAAGGAAGAUGAUGACGGUACUUGAGGAAUAAGCAUCGGCUAACUCUGUG